GUCGAACGAUGACGUCACUGCUUGCAGUGACUGAUUAGUGGCGAACGGGUGAGUAACACGUGAGGAACUUGCCCAUGAGCGGGGGACAACAUUCGGAAACGGAUGCUAAUACCCCAUAGGUGGAUUGGUCGCAUGACGAAUUCAUUAAAGGUGGCUUUGCUACCACUCAUGGAUAGCCUCGCGGCGUAUUAGCUAGUUGGUAAGGUAAUGGCUUACCAAGGCAGUGAUACGUAGCCGACUUGAGAGGGUGAUCGGCCACACUGGGACUGAGACACGGCCCAGACUCCUACGGGAGGCAGCAGUAGGGAAUCUUCCACAAUGGGUGCAAACCUGAUGGAGCAAUGCCGCGUGAGUGAAGAAGGUCUUCGGAUCGUAAAGCUCUGUUGUUAGAGAAGAACACGUGCUAGGUAACUACUAGCGCCUUGACGGUAUCUAACCAGAAAGUCACGGCUAACUACGUGCCAGCAGCCGCGGUAAUACGUAGGUGACAAGCGUUGUCCGGAUUUAUUGGGCGUAAAGGGAGCGCAGGCGGUCUGUUUAGUCUAAUGUGAAAGCCCACGGCUUAACCGUGGAACGGCAUUGGAAACUGACAGACUUGAAUGUAGAAGAGGAAAAUGGAAUUCCAAGUGUAGCGGUGGAAUGCGUAGAUAUUUGGAGGAACACCAGUGGCGAAGGCGAUUUUCUGGUCUAACAUUGACGCUGAGGCUCGAAAGCGUGGGGAGC
RNAcentral lists this ribosomal RNA (723 nucleotides) under uncultured Carnobacteriaceae bacterium. RNAcentral's name for it is "bacterial SSU rRNA". It matches the Rfam family "Bacterial small subunit ribosomal RNA", at positions 61 to 769 of the family's 1533-position model. The record is from RNAcentral. Lineage: Bacteria; Bacillati; Bacillota; Bacilli; Lactobacillales; Carnobacteriaceae.